GAGCUUGAACUCCCGGCUCGGCGUCUCUUCCCUCCACCGUGGCAGAGUGCCCAGAGCCCGAGGGGAGGGCGGCACGAGGCCCGGCCGCGCCCAUGGCCAAACUGCCGCCGCGGGCUGCACUGACCCCGCCGGCUAAGCCCCGUCCGCCCUCCGGACCGCGCGCCAGGUAGCUAUAGUGUCCACUGCCUCAAAUGGGGACCCCAGGAACAGCUGUUCCCUGCACUACAUCUACCCCUAGCAGCCCAGCGAGUACCUGAAGGCCUUGGUGGCCGUGGGGGAGAUUUGCCAGGACUAUGACAGGCCCUUACUGGGGAAACUGAAUUCUCACCUCUUGAACCAUUCUAUGAUCGAUGCUGUCCCCAAUGUUUCUCAGCUGCCUGGCCAA
Molecule: long non-coding RNA, 385 nt
Organism: Physeter macrocephalus (sperm whale)
Lineage: Eukaryota; Metazoa; Chordata; Mammalia; Artiodactyla; Physeteridae
Exons: 3
Source: RefSeq, a predicted model, not a curated record